AUGAAAAAAAUUCAAGCUUUCUAGAGUCUUAAAUUGUUCCCACCUCAUUUUAUAAGAGCAAUAUUUUUGUUUUCUUUCUUGUAUCUAAACAGAUCUCAGGACUAUUGCCUGGAAGAGUAACUUUCUCCUCAUUUUAUCUAACUUUUUAUAGACUAUCACCAAAACUCUCAAGAUAGUGUGUGAGGUCUUAUGUGACCAUGAUGGUGGGCCACCCCGGAUACCUUUCAGCAUGUUCCAAUUUCUCUACACGUAUAUUGCCAAAGUGGAUAGGGAGAGCUCUGCAUCACAUGUCAGCCGGAUGCUAAGCUACAUUCAGCAGGAAGUAAUUGGUCCUGAUGGUAUAAUCACAGUGAAUGACUUUACCCAAAACCCCAGGGUUUGGCUGGAGUAAAAGCACAAUUUUGGCAAUUUUAAGGGAAGAUACAGAGAUGCCUGUACUUCAGAAUGACUGAAACCCAUAUACCCUCCAAAAUCAAUUUUCUUGUACAACUGGUACACACGAAUAAACCAUUAAAAAUAUGAAAUCAGAAAUGUAUAAAUUAAGAUGUGAAAUUGUUGGAACAAAACACCUUCAUUACCAGGAGAUUAGUAUUCGUUCCAC
This 601-nucleotide long non-coding RNA is filed under the name Saimiri boliviensis boliviensis (Bolivian squirrel monkey). Its description in RNAcentral is "lncRNA (ENSSBOG00000036691.1)". Lineage: Eukaryota; Metazoa; Chordata; Mammalia; Primates; Cebidae. The record is from RNAcentral.